Long non-coding RNA from Coregonus clupeaformis (lake whitefish), 240 nucleotides. RefSeq lists it as uncharacterized. Lineage: Eukaryota; Metazoa; Chordata; Actinopteri; Salmoniformes; Salmonidae. The transcript is spliced from 3 exons. The record is from RefSeq and is a predicted model, not a curated record.
CAUGAAUCACCUCCCAAUCAUUACUGACCUGGGGAUCACGACCCUGGACCUGGCAGAGAACAGUAUCAGUCUUAUUUCCUCGCGGGGUUUCUCUGGUCUUCCCAACCUGGAGAGUAUAGACCUGAGCAAAAACCGACUGGAUGAUGACUCACUCAGCCACCACCUCUUCUCUAAUCUGACCCGGCUGAGGAGGCUUAACCUAGAUGAUAACCAGCUGACACGGAUCCCACUGCUGCCACC